This 286-nucleotide unclassified non-coding RNA is filed under the name uncultured fungus. RNAcentral's name for it is "partial contains 5.8S rRNA, ITS2 and 28S rRNA". It matches the Rfam family "Eukaryotic large subunit ribosomal RNA", at positions 668 to 958 of the family's 3401-position model. The record is from RNAcentral. Lineage: Eukaryota; Fungi.
AAGGAGUCCAACAAAUACGCGAGUGUUUGGGUGGCAAACCCGAGCGCGAAAUGAAAGUGAAUGUAGGUGGAUCCUUCGGGUGCACCAACGACCGGACUGGAUAAUUUUUUGAUAGAUCUGAGUAAGAGCAUAUAUGUUGGGACCCGAAAGAUGGUGAACUAUGCCUGAAUAGGGUGAAGUCAGAGGAAACUCUGAUGGAGGCUCGUAGCGGUUCUGACGUGCAAAUCGAUCGUCAAAUUUGGGUAUAGGGGCGAAAGACUAAUCGAACCAUCUAGUAGCUGGUUCC